RNAcentral lists this transfer RNA (87 nucleotides) under Labilibacter marinus. It matches the Rfam family "tRNA". Rfam says of the family: Transfer RNA (tRNA) molecules are approximately 80 nucleotides in length. Their secondary structure includes four short double-helical elements and three loops (D, anti-codon, and T loops). The record is from RNAcentral. RNAcentral also lists the same sequence under 1 other name. Lineage: Bacteria; Pseudomonadati; Bacteroidota; Bacteroidia; Marinilabiliales; Marinilabiliaceae.
GCUCGAGUGGUGGAAUUGGUAGACACGCAAGACUUAAAAUCUUGUGUCCAUCUGGACGUGCGGGUUCAAGUCCCGCCUCGAGUACCA